Molecule: ribosomal RNA, 1368 nt
Filed under: Cryptocephalus rufipes
Lineage: Eukaryota; Metazoa; Arthropoda; Insecta; Coleoptera; Chrysomelidae
Description: 16S ribosomal RNA
Rfam family: Archaeal large subunit ribosomal RNA (bases 876-1241)
Source: RNAcentral
GAUAAUUGGUUAAUCAAUUUAUUCUGAUAUUAAAAUUUUAUUAAUUUUAUUAAUUUAAUUUUGUUUACUUAAAAUAUUAUUAUUUUAUUAAUUUUGUGAAAAAAUUUUGUUGAUUAUAGUUAACUUGUAUUGUGAAAGUUUAAUUUUAUUUGUUGAAAAGAAUAAUUAAUUUUUAGUACCUUGUGUAUCAGGGUUGAUUAAAAUAUUUAUAUAUAUAAUUAUAUAAAUCUCGAAUCUGAAAGAGCUAAGGUCUUAUUUUUUAAGUAUUUCAUAAUUUUUAAAAAUAUAAUCUUAGUAGUGAAAUGUUAUUCGUUUUUUGAUAUAUCUAGUUUUUUAAGAAAUAAAUUUAAUUUACUAAUUUUUAAAAUUGUUUUAAAUUGAAAAUAUAAUUUUGAAAACGUAAAAUUUUUUUAGGGAAAAGCUUAAAAAAAUAAAUUUAUUUAUUUUUGGGUGAAGAUUUGUAGGUAGGAUUAUAAUUUUCCGUCAUUUUUAGAAUGUUAUAGUUUUCUUAUUAUAAAUUAUUAUUUAUAUAUUUAAUAAGUUUUUUAUUAAAAUUUUGGGUAAAAUAAAGUUGUUUAAGUAAUAAUGAUUGAAUUAGUAUAUUUUAAUGUAUUUUUAAACUUGUAAUAGUGGGUUUAAAUAAUGAAUUCGGCAAUUUUAUUUUUCACCUGUUUAUUAAAAACAUGGCCUUUUGAGAAUAAUUUAAGGUCGUGCCUGCUCAAUGAGGAUUAAAUAGCUGCAGUAUCUUGACUGUACUAAGGUAGCAUAAUCAUUAGUUUCUUAAUUGGGGGCUGGUAUGAAGGGCUUGAUGAGAAAAUAACUGUCUCUUUUAUAAAUAUAGAAUUUUAUUUUUGAGUAAAAAAGCUUAAAUUUGGUUAAAAGACGAGAAGACCCUAUAGAGUUUAAUAAUUGAUUGAUUUUUGUUAAUGAGGCGUAAAAAUUUGCUUAAAUUAAAGGGAUUAUUUUAUUGGGGUGAUUAAAAAAUUUAGCAAACUUUUUUAUUUUUAACUUUGAUUUAAGAUUUAUUUGAUCCGUUUUUAACGAUUAAAAGAAAAAUUACCUUAGGGAUAACAGCAUAAUCUUUUUUUAGAGUUCUAAUCGAUAGAAAGGAUUGUGACCUCGAUGUUGGAUUAAAAUAAACUCUUAGGCGCAAAAGCCGGGUAGUUGAGUCUGUUCGACUCUUAAUAUUUUACAUGAUCUGAGUUUAAACCGGCGUGAGCCAGGUUGGUUUCUAUCUUUAAUAUAAAAAAAAAUUUUAGUACGAAAGGACCAAAUUUUUGGUUAAUAAUUUAUUGUUUGAAUAUUAAUGUUAUUUUGGCAGAAUAGUGCAAUUGAUUUAGAAUCUUUAUAUAUAGAUGUAAACUAUAA